GACGAACGCUGGCGGCGUGCUUAACACAUGCAAGUCGAACGGAAAGGCCCUGCUUUUGUGGGGUGCUCGAGUGGCGAACGGGUGAGUAACACGUGAGUAACCUGCCCUUGACUUUGGGAUAACCUCAGGAAACUGGGGCUAAUACCGGAUAGGAGCUCCUGCUGCAUGGUGGGGGUUGGAAAGUUUCGGCGGUUGGGGAUGGACUCGCGGCUUAUCAGCUUGUUGGUGGGGUAGUGGCUUACCAAGGCUUUGACGGGUAGCCGGCCUGAGAGGGUGACCGGCCACAUUGGGACUGAGAUACGGCCCAGACUCCUACGGGAGGCAGCAGUGGGGAAUAUUGCACAAUGGGCGGAAGCCUGAUGCAGCAACGCCGCGUGCGGGAUGACGGCCUUCGGGUUGUAAACCGCUUUCGCCUGUGACGAAGCGUGAGUGACGGUAAUGGGUAAAGAAGCACCGGCUAACUACGUGCCAGCAGCCGCGGUGAUACGUAGGGUGCGAGCGUUGUCCGGAUUUAUUGGGCGUAAAGGGCUCGUAGGUGGUUGAUCGCGUCGGAAGUGUAAUCUUGGGGCUUAACCCUGAGCGUGCUUUCGAUACGGGUUGACUUGAGGAAGGUAGGGGAGAAUGGAAUUCCUGGUGGAGCGGUGGAAUGCGCAGAUAUCAGGAGGAACACCAGUGGCGAAGGCGGUUCUCUGGGCCUUUCCUGACGCUGAGGAGCGAAAGCGUGGGGAGCGAACAGGCUUAGAUACCCUGGUAGUCCACGCUGUAAACGGUGGGUACUAGGUGUGGGGUCCAUUCCACGGGUUCCGUGCCGUAGCUAACGCUUUAAGUACCCCGCCUGGGGAGUACGGCCGCAAGGCUAAAACUCAAAGGAGUUGACGGGGCCCCGCACAAGCGGCGGAGCAUGCGGAUUAAUUCGAUGCAACGCGUAGAACCUUACCUGGGUUUGACAUGGAUCGGGAGUGCUCAGAGAUGGGUGUGCCUCUUUUGGGGUCGGUUCACAGGUGGUGCAUGGCUGUCGUCAGCUCGUGUCGUGAGAUGUUGGGUUAAGUCCCGCAACGAGCGCAACCCUUGUUCACUGUUGCCAGCACGUUAUGGUGGGGACUCAGUGGAGACCGCCGGGGUCAACUCGGAGGAAGGUGGGGAUGACGUCAAGUCAUCAUGCCCCUUAUGUCCAGGGCUUCACGCAUGCUACAAUGGCUGGUACAGAGAGUGGCGAGCCUGUGAGGGUGAGCGAAUCUCGGAAAGCCGGUCUCAGUUCGGAUUGGGGUCUGCAACUCGACCUCAUGAAGUCGGAGUCGCUAGUAAUCGCAGAUCAGCAACGCUGCGGUGAAUACGUUCCCGGG
This 1343-nucleotide ribosomal RNA is filed under the name uncultured bacterium. Its description in RNAcentral is "16S ribosomal RNA". It matches the Rfam family "Bacterial small subunit ribosomal RNA", at positions 28 to 1378 of the family's 1533-position model. The record is from RNAcentral.